GACGAACGCUGGCGGCGUGCCUAAUACAUGCAAGUAGAACGCUGAAGAGAGGAGCUUGCUCUUCUUGGAUGAGUUGCGAACGGGUGAGUGACGCGUAGGUAACCUGCCUUGUAGCGGGGGAUAACUAUUGGAAACGAUAGCUAAUACCGCAUAACAAUGGAUGACCCAUGUCAUUUAUUUGAAAGGGGCAAAUGCUCCACUACAAGAUGGACCUGCGUUGUAUUAGCUAGUAGGUGAGGUAACGGCUCACCUAGGCGACGAUACAUAGCCGACCUGAGAGGGUGAUCGGCCACACUGGGACUGAGACACGGCCCAGACUCCUACGGGAGGCAGCAGUAGGGAAUCUUCGGCAAUGGGGGCAACCCUGACCGAGCAACGCCGCGUGAGUGAAGAAGGUUUUCGGAUCGUAAAGCUCUGUUGUAAGUCAAGAACGAGUGUGAGAGUGGAAAGUUCACACUGUGACGGUAGCUUACCAGAAAGGGACGGCUAACUACGUG
Molecule: ribosomal RNA, 497 nt
Filed under: uncultured bacterium
Lineage: Bacteria
Description: partial 16S ribosomal RNA
Rfam family: Bacterial small subunit ribosomal RNA
Source: RNAcentral